Molecule: ribosomal RNA, 253 nt
Filed under: uncultured bacterium
Lineage: Bacteria
Description: partial 16S ribosomal RNA
Rfam family: Bacterial small subunit ribosomal RNA
Source: RNAcentral
UACGGAGGGUGCGAGCGUUGUUCGGAAUCACUGGGCGUAAAGCGCGUGUAGGCGGCCUGCUAAGUCUGAUGUGAAAGCCCGAGGCUCACCCUCGGAAGUGCAUUGGAAACUGGCAGACUGGAGUCCCGGAGAAGAGGGUGGAAUUCCUGGUGUAGCGGUGAAAUGCGUAGAUAUCAGGAGGAACACCGGUGGCGAAGGCGGCCCUCUGGACGGUGACUGACGCUGAGACGCGAAAGCGUGGGGAGCAAACAGG